ACAACAACAUCAUCGACAGCGAAGACCUCGAAGCAGCAGUCGAAGACGAUCUCAAGCCUCCUCCCUUCAAAUUCCAUCGCAUAUGGCCCGAAUCUGACGAAAUUUGAUUCCUCCAAGACCUCCUCGAAUGCUCCGCAGAUGGAUUUGUCUUUCCUCAAGACCUCCCUCUCUUCUACGAUCGCUUCCCACAGUCUAUGCCUCAACCCUACACCAGAUCCCAGCUUUCUGAGAAGCUUCGUCGUCUUCGUAAGAAAUUUCGCAUUAUCUCUACUCGAAUUUCAGGUGGGCUUGAUCCUUCGCUUCUUGCUCCACACGAUCGUGCGCUCUUCGAUCUUUCCAAUCAGUUAUGGCAUCCUUCAUAUGCCUCUUCAUCUCCCUUUCAGUCUAAUAAGCGGAAGCCCUCUAAGGUUAGUGUUAGGGUGAGUUUCUCUCCUACCCUUCUGCUUGUCUUCCUCCCCUCCUCCUCCACCACCAGUUCAACCUAGCAUCAACGACGCUGAUAUUACUGAGGAAGAUACUGAAUUGAAUUUAGAGAACAAUCUCGGCAGUGGACAUGAAGAGGAGCCGUAUUUGCCAAUCGGCUACGACGGUGA
Molecule: long non-coding RNA, 593 nt
Organism: Telopea speciosissima
Lineage: Eukaryota; Viridiplantae; Streptophyta; Magnoliopsida; Proteales; Proteaceae
Exons: 3
Source: RefSeq, a predicted model, not a curated record